AACGAACGCUGGCGGCAUGCCUAACACAUGCAAGUCGAACGAGACCUUCGGGUCUAGUGGCGCACGGGUGCGUAACGCGUGGGAACCUGCCCUUAGGUUCGGAAUAACUCCCCGAAAGGGGUGCUAAUACCGGAAAAUGUCUUCGGACCAAAGAUUUAUCGCCUUUGGAUGGGCCCGCGUUGGAUUAGCUAGUUGGUAGGGUAAAAGCCUACCAAGGCGACGAUCCAUAGCUGGUCUGAGAGGAUGAUCAGCCACACUGGGACUGAGACACGGCCCAGACUCCUACGGGAGGCAGCAGUGGGGAAUAUUGGACAAUGGACGAAAGCCUGAUCCAGCAAUGCCGCGUGAGUGAUGAAGGCCUUAGGGUUGUAAAGCUCUUUUACCCGGGAUGAUAAUGACGGUACCGGGAGAAUAAGCUCCGGCUAACUCCGUG
Molecule: ribosomal RNA, 433 nt
Filed under: uncultured bacterium
Lineage: Bacteria
Description: partial 16S ribosomal RNA
Rfam family: Bacterial small subunit ribosomal RNA
Source: RNAcentral